RNAcentral lists this ribosomal RNA (118 nucleotides) under Pteropus alecto (black flying fox). The record is from RNAcentral. Lineage: Eukaryota; Metazoa; Chordata; Mammalia; Chiroptera; Pteropodidae.
GUCUACGGCCGCGCCACCCUGAACGAGCCUGAUCCCGUCUGAUCUCGGAAGCUAAGCAGGGUCGGGCCUGGUUAGUACUUGGAUGGGAGACCACUUGGAAGACCAGGUGCCGUAGGCG